This 255-nucleotide ribosomal RNA is filed under the name uncultured bacterium. RNAcentral describes it as "partial 16S ribosomal RNA". It matches the Rfam family "Bacterial small subunit ribosomal RNA", at positions 99 to 354 of the family's 1533-position model. The record is from RNAcentral.
CGGACGGGUGAGUAACGCGUGGAAAACCUGCCGUAUACUGGGGGAUAACACUUAGAAAUAGGUGCUAAUACCGCAUAAGCGCACAGCUUCGCAUGAAGCGGUGUGAAAAACUCUGGUGGUAUACGAUGGUUCCGCGUCUGAUUAGCUAGUUGGUGGGGUGAUGGCCUACCAAGGCAACGAUCAGUAGCCGGCCUGAGAGGGUGAACGGCCACAUUGGGACUGAGACACGGCCCAAACUCCUACGGAAGGCAGCAG